AAAGCAUUAUCCUCUGAAAAAGAACCGAAUGCAAAAUAGGGAAGAGGCGUGUCAAGGUGGAGAGCUCUGAUUGGCCAAGACCCUUUCCUACCUGGUCUUGAAUACACUCGCUCUGUUUAGUUCAUCUCAGAAGCUCCUGACAGCGGUUCUUACUGCCAGUGCUUGCAGUUUUUCAGUUUCAUUUUGAAGGUGUUAGAAAAAAUAUCUACUACAAAGCAUUAUCCUCUGAAAAAGAACCGAAUGCAAAAUAUAGAAGAGGUGUGUCAAGGUGGAGAGCUCUGAUUGGCUAAGACCCUUUCUUGCCUGGUCUUGAACACUCUCGCUCUGUUUAGUUCAUCUCAGAAGCUCCUGACAGUGGUGCUUACUGCCAGUGCUUGGAGUUUUUCAGUUUCAUUUUGAAGAAUGUUGAGGAGACCUCCGCGCUCCGCACUCGAUGUGGCAAUUCAUCGCAAAGAUUUAAAUACCGAAAAAGUUUGGAGUUUUCGAAAAACCUAGGAAUUAAACGCUCCUCUGCUCUGCCAUAGGUUGAUAACAAGACUGAUAACAGAACCGAGGUGGCAUCUAAUCGUACCCAGCGUCAAAUGCCAGAGGUUAAAAACCUAACGAAGCCAAGAGCGGAUUACGAGUCUGCGCAAGAUGGCUACAUCUUCAGACUGUUGUGUAAUUGUGCAGAAUGGCGAGGUGGUGUUCUAGUUGUGGUGUAGUCACUGAAGAUAUUUCUACAGAGCUAAGGCGAUACAGAAGGUAAUGCACGGAACACUAGAGCAUAGGAGAAAUGGGCAUGUCUUGAGAGGCCGACCGAGCUACUACGGAGGUGGGAGAGGAAUGAGAGCUGUACUAUUUUGAAGCUAUCCACAUGGCUAGGAGGAUACUGAAGCUAAAUCACAGACAGUAAUGGAAGAAAGUUGUGGACAAGUGUUGUGGAGACCGAUCGAACUAAUACAGAGGUGUAAGCGGGGCAUCAGCUAUAUUUAACUGCAGUGCAAUAGUGCAGUGUGUAAAAAUGUACUGUUUAAGCGAAGCUAUCCACAUGGUUUAGAGGUUACAGAAGAAGAAAUAAAGCAGGAUUGUGGAGGUUGGAGUGGUUAAAGGAAGCAAGAAAUUUCAUCUCUCUCAAUUUGAGAGCAACUUGGGGUUGUAAAUAUUAUCAACCAUUUUUAAGUUAUACAAUAUAUUCCAGGUUUAUUGAAAUUCCAUGUUUACACUUAUACUAUUCAUCAAAAUGACCUUAGAAGGCCAGUAAAAAAUAU
Molecule: long non-coding RNA, 1250 nt
Organism: Macrobrachium nipponense
Lineage: Eukaryota; Metazoa; Arthropoda; Malacostraca; Decapoda; Palaemonidae
Exons: 5
Source: RefSeq, a predicted model, not a curated record